UAGAGUUUGAUCCUGGCUCAGAACGAACGCUGGCGGCGUGGAUUAGGCAUGCAAGUCGAACGGUAGAUUUUGAAAUUGAGGCUUCGGCCGAUGUUUCUUUAUUUAGAGUGGCGAAAGGGUGAGUAACAUGUGGGUAACCUGCCUUAAGGAUUGGGAUAACCUGUCGAAAGAUAGGCUAAUACCAAAUAAGACUACGAGCACUCCGGUGCUAGUAGUAAAACAAGGGCCUCUCCUUGGAAGCUUUUGCCUUAAGAUGGGCCCGCAACGUAUUAGCUUGUUGGUGGGGUAAUGGCCUACCAAGGCUACGAUGCGUAGCUGGUCUGAGAGGAUGAUCAGCCACACUGGGACUGAGACACUGCCCAGACACCUACGGGUGGCUGCAGUCGAGAAUCUUUCGCAAUGGGGGAAACCCUGACGAAGCGACGCCGCGUGAGCGAUGAAGGUCUUCGGAUUGUAAAGCUCUGUCACAAGGGACGAAACGCAUAGUUGAGAAUACCUAUUAUGCUUGACGGUACCUUGAGAGGAAGCCCCGGCUAACUCCGUGCCAGCAGCCGCGGUAAUA
Molecule: ribosomal RNA, 562 nt
Filed under: uncultured bacterium
Lineage: Bacteria
Description: bacterial SSU rRNA
Rfam family: Bacterial small subunit ribosomal RNA
Source: RNAcentral